This 460-nucleotide ribosomal RNA is filed under the name uncultured bacterium. RNAcentral describes it as "partial 16S ribosomal RNA". It matches the Rfam family "Bacterial small subunit ribosomal RNA", at positions 338 to 795 of the family's 1533-position model. The record is from RNAcentral.
CCUACGGGUGGCAGCAGUGAGGAAUAUUGGUCAAUGGCCGUGAGGCUGAACCAGCCAAGUCGCGUGAGGGAAGAAUGUUCUAUGGUUUGUAAACUUCUUUUGUCAGGGAGUAAAGGUAUCCACGUGUGGGUGUUUGCGUGUACCCGAUGAAUAAGCAUCGGCUAACUCCGUGCCAGCAGCCGCGGUAAUACGGAGGAUGCGAGCGUUAUCCGGAUUUAUUGGGUUUAAAGGGUGCGUAGGUGGGUUAUUAAGUCAGCGGUGAAAGUUUGUGGCUCAACCCUAACCCUGCCGUUGAAACUGGUAGUCUUGAGUGUGCGUGAGGUAGGCGGAAUGCGUGGUGUAGCGGUGAAAUGCAUAGAUAUCACGCAGAACUCCGAUUGCGAAGGCAGCAUACCGAGGCCCAACUGACACUGAAGCACGAAAGCGUGGGUAUCAAACAGGAUUAGAUACCCUGGUAGUC